UACGUAGGGUGCAAGCGUUUGUCCGGAAUUAUUGGGCGUAAAGAGCGUGUAGGCGGCCCGAUUAGCUCGCUGUGAAAGUCCAGGGCUCAACCCUGGAAUGCCGGUGGAUACUGUCGGGCUAGAGUCCGGAAGGGGCGAGUGGAAUUCCUGGUGUAGCGGUGAAAUGCGCAGAUAUCAGGAGGAACACCAAUUGCGAAGGCAGCUCGCUGGGACGUUACUGACGCUGAGACGCGAAAGCGUGGGGAGCGAACAGG
This 254-nucleotide ribosomal RNA is filed under the name uncultured bacterium. Its description in RNAcentral is "partial 16S ribosomal RNA". It matches the Rfam family "Bacterial small subunit ribosomal RNA", at positions 524 to 776 of the family's 1533-position model. The record is from RNAcentral.